GAAUGAUAGAGUAUUUAUAAAGGUUGCCUAUCCCUUGUAAUAUUCUUUAUUUUUGUAUGCUGUAAUAAUCAGAUUCUCAUUAUUUGCUCAAAGUAGUUGGCAAUGCAUUUUGGGAUGAAGGCUUAGUUAAGCUGAGUUGAGUUGGCAAUGCAUAAACAAAAUCCUUUCUAUUGCUGUGUGUUAGAUGUUCUGAAUCUCAUGUCAAGUCAUUGUGACAGUAUAAUAAAACGGUAUUUUUAUUAUUAUUAUUAUUAU
This 255-nucleotide unclassified non-coding RNA is filed under the name Hevea brasiliensis (rubber tree). Lineage: Eukaryota; Viridiplantae; Streptophyta; Magnoliopsida; Malpighiales; Euphorbiaceae. The record is from RNAcentral.